GCCCGGGUGGCGGAAUGGCAGGCGCAGCGGACUCAAAAUCCGCUGUCCGAAAGGGCGUGUGGGUUCAAAUCCCACCCCGGGCA
Molecule: transfer RNA, 83 nt
Filed under: Microthrixaceae bacterium
Lineage: Bacteria; Bacillati; Actinomycetota; Acidimicrobiia; Acidimicrobiales; Microthrixaceae
Description: tRNA-Leu
Rfam family: tRNA
About the family: Transfer RNA (tRNA) molecules are approximately 80 nucleotides in length. Their secondary structure includes four short double-helical elements and three loops (D, anti-codon, and T loops).
Source: RNAcentral